GCCUGGGUGGCUCAGUCGGUUGAGCGUCCGACUUCGGCUCAGGUCAUGAUCUCGCGGUUUGUGGGUUCGAGCCCCGCGUCGGGCU
RNAcentral lists this transfer RNA (85 nucleotides) under Felis catus (domestic cat). It matches the Rfam family "tRNA". Rfam says of the family: Transfer RNA (tRNA) molecules are approximately 80 nucleotides in length. Their secondary structure includes four short double-helical elements and three loops (D, anti-codon, and T loops). Lineage: Eukaryota; Metazoa; Chordata; Mammalia; Carnivora; Felidae. The record is from Rfam by way of RNAcentral. RNAcentral also lists the same sequence under 3 other names.